This is a non-coding RNA of Penaeus vannamei (Pacific white shrimp), 824 nucleotides long. The record is from RefSeq and is a predicted model, not a curated record. Lineage: Eukaryota; Metazoa; Arthropoda; Malacostraca; Decapoda; Penaeidae.
CGCGAGCGCAGGUGGGAGGGGAACACUUCGAAGUCCUUUGUGGUUGCGAGUCCUUAUUGCCAGGAAGUAUUUGAUGUUUUCCUGACUGUUGACGGGAAUUGCCGUUGGAAAGUUACGCUAAGUAAAUCCCCGUCGACGCUGACUGGCAGUAUCGAGAGUAAGUAGAAUUGUAGACUUGUUCUGGGAUAGAGCAAGGGAGUUGAUGAUUUGUGGCCAAAUUUCUUUUAUUUAUGUAGGCUGAUUAGUAUAGCAAGUGCGUGUGUCUGUAUGCAUGUGUGUACGUAUAGUGUGUGUUAGUGUGUGCGCAUGUGUGUAUACGUUCUCUUUGGUUUUAAAUCCGGUGUUAAUCAAUACACAAAGAAAAAAUGUUCUUUUUGUUCUCGUGUAUAGAGAGAGAGUGAAUGAGUGAGUGGGUGAGCGAAUGCGUGUGUCGGAAUCAGAGUUCAGCGUACGUAAGAAGAAAAAGGGUAAAGAACUUGCAGGGGCAUAGUUGAAAGUGUAUUAUGUAUUUUUCCGCCGCUCCAAUGCUGGCUUCAUUUUUUAUAAGUAGAGUUGGGGUACUUUUGUUCCGCGUGGCCGGCGCCGUGAGAGGUUUAAAACAUUAUCGCAGUUCGAGCGCUUGUUGCCCGCGCGCCGUUGUUUCAGGCAGCGUUGUUCUUAACGAUUAUUGAAGAGAGGAGAGAAAGGGGGAAUAGAGUGGCGAGGAAGAUGAAAGGAGAGCAUGCAUGCCGUCGUCGCACCAAUAAAAUCGCAUUAAAUUCUUCAAGGGAAAAUCAAAUCUUCUUGGAGGUCAAAAGUUGAAAAUUUGAAGAGUUUGUCCUGUC